AGAUAGCUGACGAGUCCCAAACAGGACGAAAUGCGCAUCCUAGAU
Molecule: non-coding RNA, 45 nt
Filed under: Trichobilharzia regenti
Lineage: Eukaryota; Metazoa; Platyhelminthes; Trematoda; Strigeidida; Schistosomatidae
Source: RNAcentral